AGAGUUUGAUCAUGGCUCAGGAUGAACGCUAGCGGUGUGCCUUAAGCAUGCAAGUCGAGCGGUCGCCUUUGGUGACAGCGGCAGACGGCUGAGUAACACGUAGGUAGCUACCCUUUAGCGGGGGAUAGCCCGCCGAAAGGCGGAGUAAUCCCGCAUAAUCCCCGCUGUUUCUGAAGACAAAAAUUACCCACCGUUAUUUUUUUUUGAACAAACUUUAAAAAUAACCAAGGCGGUAUUCUUGUUUUCUGAAACGGCGGGGGAAAGAGCUUAACUGCUCACUGAAGGAGGCGCCUGCGGCCUAUCAGCUUGUUGGUAGGGUAAUGGCCUACCAAGGCAAAGACGGGUAGGGGGCGUGAGAGCGUGGCCCCCCAGAAUGGGACUGAGACACGGCCCAUACACCUACGGGUGGCAGCAACUGGGAAUCUUGCGCUAUGGGCGAAAGCCUGACGCAGCGACACCGCGUGAAGGAUGAAGGCCUUCGGGUUGUAAACUUCUGUUAAAUAGCACCGGCUAACUACGUGCCAGCAGCUGCGGUAAGACGUAGGGUGCAAGCGUUAUCCGGAUUUACUGGGCGUGAAGAGUUCGUAGGCGGAAAGGUAGGUUGCUGGUUAAAGCCCCCGGCUCAACCGGGGAAAAGCUGGCAAAACCGCUUUUCUUGUCCUCUGCAGGGGGUGCUGGAACUUACCAUGUAGGAGUGAAAUCCGUUGAUAUGGUAAGGAACGCCAACGGCGAAGGCGGGCACCUGGGCAGGAGGAGACGCUGAGGAACGAAAGCUAGGGGAGCGAACCGGAUUAGAGACCCGGGUAGUCCUAGCCGUAAACGAUGUCCGCUAGUUGCUUGAGAGUAAUCUUAGGUGACGAAGGUAACCCAUUAAGCGGACCGCCUGGGGAAGUACGA
RNAcentral lists this ribosomal RNA (897 nucleotides) under uncultured bacterium. RNAcentral describes it as "bacterial SSU rRNA". It matches the Rfam family "Bacterial small subunit ribosomal RNA", at positions 8 to 885 of the family's 1533-position model. The record is from RNAcentral.